Molecule: long non-coding RNA, 952 nt
Organism: Gambusia affinis (western mosquitofish)
Lineage: Eukaryota; Metazoa; Chordata; Actinopteri; Cyprinodontiformes; Poeciliidae
Exons: 5
Source: RefSeq, a predicted model, not a curated record
AGAUGGGAGUUAAAAGUUGAAAAAAGACAAAACUACACACGCUGUAUCACAUCACAAAAGUGAAAAUCUCUGAGUUUUUCAGUUCUUUUUAAGGGUGCAACACUUGUUUGGAGACCCGAUUCGCUCACUACAACUUUGCAGUGAAGCCGUAACGUGCAGAUCCACAACGUGGAAACGCUGAAGGUUUCAUUACCUGAAACUGAUGAGAUGAAGUCAGAGAGGAUGAAGCAGCGACUAACCAGUUCAACCAGUAGAAGUGACCACAGCCCAUCUUUUCUCACAGGCAUUUGUAGAGCCUGUUGAUGCGGGCGAUGUCGUUGACGCUCAUCGUUGUGGCCCUUCCAAAGUCGAGGGAAGGAUUAGUUUUGGCCAGGAGAGUCGGUUGGCCAUUUCUGGAGAAGGCAAACCUGGAAGAAGGAGGAAGUGAUGAACAAAAUGCCUCUGCACUCGUAGCCAGACUGAAAACAACAAGCUGUGUGUAACACAGUAGAAGAUGUUCUGCAGACAGAAGUAUUGAGCCACGGUUGUGUGAGUGAGCCGACCUGGGACGAUGUUCUGGGUGAGGACCUGGAUGUAGGAGUCUCUGUCAGAGCGGACCUGUUCGUGGUGGAAGCCCAGAGCGUGGUUGACCUCAUGCUGCACCGUGGAGUGAUACAGGCAGCCAUUGCUCUGCAGAGACACCUGCUGCAGUCCGCCCUGACGGCCCAGGGUAGAAGUAAAGGAAGUCCCGAUGGCUCGAGUCCUUCCAGACAAAGCGAAUGCAGGUGGAGGAGUGGAAGCUCAACAGGCCAUUGAUGAUGACGUUACGCUCUGCCACGGCUGCAAAACGAAACACUCAAAACAUUUUACACCCAGGUCCUAACUGCAAAACAUGUUUGGCAUUUAAACUCCAACACAGACAUCAUGUACUGUUCCCUCUGCCUUCUGAAAUAAACAUGAGGAAACAUGUGAA